Pygocentrus nattereri (red-bellied piranha) is the source of this 4185-nucleotide RNA transcript. It is a transcript of the gene named zinc finger protein 207, a, with no coding region annotated. NCBI's taxonomy places the organism in Eukaryota, Metazoa, Chordata, Actinopteri, Characiformes, Serrasalmidae. The record is from RefSeq and is a predicted model, not a curated record. The transcript is spliced from 13 exons.
AUGGGGAGGAAAAAGAAGAAGCAGAUGAAGCCGUGGUGCUGGUAUUGUAAUAGAGAUUUUGACGAUGAAAAGAUCCUCAUUCAACACCAGAAAGCCAAACAUUUUAAAUGUCACAUAUGCCAUAAGAAGCUUUAUACUGGUCCAGGUCUGGCCAUCCACUGUAUGCAGGUUCACAAAGAAACUAUAGAUGGUGUUCCCAAUGCAAUACCUGGCAGAACAGACAUUGAGCUGGAAAUUUACGGAAUGGAGGGUAUUCCAGAGAAAGAUAUGGAAGAAAGGAGACGUGUGCUCGAGCAGAAAACACAAGAAAACCAGAAAAAGAAACAGAACCAAGAUGACACAGAUGAGGAUGAGGAGGACGAAGAGGCAGGACCCUCUUUCCAGCAGCCAGCAGCACAGCCCCAGGCUGCGUACGCCCCUAUGACGCAACCUGGGAUGGCCCCGGUGCCAGCACCAGGGAUGCCACCUGGGAGCUACUCAGGAAUGCCUCCAAUGAUGCCUGGUGUCCCUCCCAUGAUGCCAGCGAUGCCCCCAGUCAUGCCAGGAAUGCCACCAGGCAUGAUGCCAAUGGGUGGAAUGAUGCCACCUGGACCAGGAAUGCCUCCUAUGAUACCAGGGAUGCCACCAGGCAUGCCUCCUCCUAUGGGUCAUCGUCCAGGCAUGAACCACCUUCCUCAGGCCCCAGCUUCCACGGCUCCUAGCAUGAUGCCCAGAGCAGCAACUCCUGCAUCCACAGUGGCUGCUCCUCAGCCUGCAGUCACCAAGCCCUUAUUCCCUAGUGCUGGACAGAUGGGGACUCGAGCUCCCAGCACAAGCUCAGCCUCCUCCAGUGUGGACACUUUGUCAGCAACCUCUAAACCGCUGUCGCAAGCUCAGCAGGGUGUGUCUGGAGCGGCAGCAGGCCCCUCUGCCUCUUCCUCUGCUGCUCCAAAAGCCACAUUCCCAGCCUACAGCCAACCGAUAUCCCCUGCUGCCAACACAGGCAGCACUGUGGCCAAACCUGCCACCCCAGUCACAAGUAAGCCUGCCACCCUCACCACCACCAGUGCAACCAGUAAGUUGAUCCACCCUGAUGAGGAUAUCUCUCUGGAGGAGCUGCGUGCUCAGCUCCCACGCUACCAGUGUAAAAUGCCCAGCACAGGGCAGGCCCACAUCAGUGCCCCCCCAGUUGGACCAAUGGGGGGAGUGAUGCCCUCUCAGCAGGGAAUUGCUUCACAGCAGCCGGGAGUCAGGCAUCCAAUGCACGGGCCAUACGGUGCUCCACCACAGGCAGUACCUGGCUAUGUGCCAGGGGGGAUGCCAACAUAUGGGCAAGGCCCCCCAAUGGUUCCUCCUUUCCAGGGAGCCCCACCGCGGCCACCCAUGGCCAUGAGACCCCCUGUAAUGUCCCAGGGAGGCAGAUAUUGAAGCUCCACCACCAGUCUUCAAUAGGUUUUUAGAAGUGAAGUUUAGUAAAUAUGGUUCGUAAUAAUUUGAAGCGGCUGGAGUUACGUGAACAGUACAGCACCUUUUAUCCAGCGAUGCCAUGGGACCGGCUGAGGUAGAGUCUCACUGGUGCCCUGUACAGGCCGAGGCAAGUCUCAUUUUCUCUCUUUAAUCACAUACGUGGGGGCCCUCACAGCUUUUUAUGGCUGUUGGACUUUAAUGUCCCCAAACUUGUAGCAGGUUUGGUGAUGGCCCCUAUUCUUAUUCAAUUUAGGUAAAUCCAUUAACUAACGUCUUCUGCGUUUAUUUCCAAAGUGAUGCACCGGUUUGGAUUUUGGCUCAGCGGGUAUACAGUUAUUCUUUUCUCAGAGCUGUCUUAUGUGUAGGGGAAUAUGGGGCUGGUUGUCACACUUCUUGCUCUGGCUCGUUUAUCUCACAAACCUAGAAAGCUCAUUAUGUCCUGCGUGAAAAGAGUAGGGCCUUACUGGUUUAAUAAGGUACUAGGUUUUGUAUACACAUCUUGUGACAACCAACCCAAGGCAGGCAUUAUACUUUUUUUUUUUUUUUUUUUUUUUUUCCCCCCGAAAAUGCUUGAUAAUGAAUGACUAUGACAAAGUUUAUUUCCCAUCAAAGAGAAAUGUUUAACAACAGUUAGACACUGUCUUCUAAAAUAUUUCUAAAUUAAGGCCCAAUCCCAUUUCUUCUUUUUACCCCUACUCCUUGUUUUCUAGUGUCACCCCAGUCCCUUGGAACUGAAGUUACAAGGGGUAGUGGUUGAAAUCGUGCCCUUCGAAUUGGGACCCUCAAAAAAAUAAACACCUUGCUUCAUUAAAAGGCUACUAGCUGUCUUCUGCAGGUGUCCCGGCCUGACUUCAGUGAUGGCAGAGAAGGGAAAAGUUCAGCUCCUCACUGCUGGGCUUUAGUUACAUUUAGGGCAUCAUAUGACUUCAAAGAGGGGUACAGCUAUUUAUUACAUCGCCCACCCCUAAUGUGUUGAUGUGAAGCUGAAGUCGGCUAUUCACCAGCUUCUUGUUGGAAUUUUCCUGUUCCACCUUAAAUGGUGCAGCAGUUACAUUCUGGCGCUUCAGGAUUCAGAACUUCUGGACUAUAUAAGGUGGAACUGGAAAGUUAGCUAACUAGCUCUGAGACAUUAGCAUUCUAUUGGUGAUUUUUAUGCUCGUUCUGAAGAAAACGAACAUAAUACAUUGAAAUGACAAACUAAGUACAGCGGUUAUUAGAAUUUUUUUUUUUUUUUAAGCGUAAAUAUUAAUGGAGAAAAUACUUAAAUAUCUGGGUUUCUUUGGUCACUCAUCUUGCAGGUUUUUCUUUUUUCUCAUUACACUCCGUUUGGAGCUGUGCCUGUGAAAAAUCUCUGUUUGGAGGGCCAUGUAGCCCGAACACUUCGCCUUACCCCUCUAUCGCACCAAAAAUCGGGACACCGUAACCCUAGACGCGAGGGAUGAGAUGGGACUGGGCCUAAGUGUGACAGCUAACCCAGUAAAACAGGCAUGUCCAGUCUUAUCCACAGAGGGCUGCUGUGGCUGCAGGUUUUCAUUCCAGCAAAGCAGGAGACCCACCUGAUCAGCAGUUUGAAGAAUGGAACCAACUGAUUAAACAAGUGGAAUCAAUUGAGCUUCAGCUUGUUUUGAGUGGAAACCUGCCGCCACGCCGGCCCUUUGUGGAUAAGAUUAGACACCUAUGCUAUAAAGCUACUUCUCCAGUACUGCUGAAGGGCAUGCUAGUGACCCUCAUACUUGCACUGACACUGCAUUUUUGUCCUCCUUUUAGUGACCAAGAUCAUUUUAUGGUGCUUUCAUAACCUCCUCAUUAUUAUCAGAUUUUUACUUUGGUUUAAUGAAAGAGAAACUGACCUCAGGUUGAAGGUCCUGCGGUUGAAGAGAAGCUACCCUCUGCCCUCAAAAUAUGACACUUCACACUAGUAUUUCAAGACAACUCUACCUGGAAUUACCAGAUAGUAGUGCUGUGACAACCAACCUCAUGUUCUCCUAAAUGUGCCUUUCGCACCUUUUAUCUGUAUUCUCUCCCCUUUAUUUUUUAAUACAUCAAAACUUUCAAACAUUGCUGAUCUAGAUUGCCAUAAACUUUAAUAUUAUUGGAAGUUAUUUGACGAGUGGUUUGCAUAAUAUCAGGUGUUAACAGUUCAUUUAGCCCACCUGAGUCCAGUGGUAAGUACAGGAAUUUGGAUGUUUGUGCAGAUGGACUGUGUAACAAUUCCAUUUUUUGUAAAAAUGCUGUGCUACUACAAAAGCUUUUAAAGCCCCAGGGAACCUAAGUCUGUGUUUUCUUUAAGCAAGUUAAAGGAUGUUCUCUCCAAUGUUGACUAAAUGGCAGCCUUGAUCUUCCAAUCACACAUACAUAAGCAGUAAUCCCAGCAAUCACAAAGCUGAUAUGUUGUCCUGUUUGCAAAGCUUUUUCAAAACUCUUCUCCUAGUCUUUGUGUUUGAGCUGGACAAACUUGCAGUGUGAAAGCUGACAACCACAUGAAAGCUAAACUAACAUCCUAGAUCAUCUGCCUGUCGCCUCUCCAUCUGUUUGUUCAGCUGGCCACGGAAGCAUUCCCUGGAAGAACUUCCAGAAAAAUGAACAAGAACUUUAUCUUUUUUAAGACAUGUGAACUGCAUAUCGCUGCUGUCGGAACAAAACCUCGUGUCUCGUUUUUCAGUUUUAGGCAUCAUUUAAAAAUACCUGUUGGUAUUUUAGAUUGUAUGUAAAUUUUAUGAUGAAUGAACCAAAAGAAAU